UACGGGGGGAGCAAGCGUUGUUCGGAUUUACUGGGCGUAAAGGGCGCGUAGGCGGUCGUGACAAGUCACUUGUGAAAUCUCCGGGCUUAACUCGGAACGGUCAGAUGAUACUGCUUUGCUCGAGUGCGGAAGGGGCAAUCGGAAUUCUUGGUGUAGCGGUGAAAUGCGUAGAUAUCAAGAGGAACACCUGAGGUGAAGACGGGUUGCUGGGCCGACACUGACGCUGAAGCGCGAAAGCCAGGGGAGCAAACGGG
This 254-nucleotide ribosomal RNA is filed under the name uncultured bacterium. RNAcentral's name for it is "partial 16S ribosomal RNA". It matches the Rfam family "Bacterial small subunit ribosomal RNA", at positions 524 to 776 of the family's 1533-position model. The record is from RNAcentral.